UGGGGAAUCUUGCGCAAUGGGCGAAAGCCUGACGCAGCCAUGCCGCGUGAAUGAUGAAGGUCUUAGGAUUGUAAAAUUCUUUCACCGGGGACGAUAAUGACGGUACCCGGAGAAGAAGCCCCGGCUAACUUCGUGCCAGCAGCCGCGGUAAUACGAAGGGGGCUAGCGUUGCUCGGAAUUACUGGGCGUAAAGGGCGCGUAGGCGGACAUUUAAGUCAGGGGUGAAAUCCCAGAGCUCAACUCUGGAACUGCCUUUGAUACUGGAUGUCUUGAGUAUGAGAGAGGUAUGUGGAACUCCGAGUGUAGAGGUGAAAUUCGUAGAUAUUCGGAAGAACACCAGUGGCGAAGGCGACAUACUGGCUCAUUACUGACGCUGAGGCGCGAAAGCGUGGGGAGCAAACAGGAUUAGAUACCCUGGUAGUCCACGCCGUAAAGCGAUGAUUGCUAGUUGUCGGGGAAUUGCAUGCAUCUCGGGUGACGCAGCUAACGCAUUAAGCAAUCCGCCUGGGGAGUACGGUCGCAAGAUUAAAACUCAAAGGAAUUGACGGGGG
Molecule: ribosomal RNA, 551 nt
Filed under: uncultured bacterium
Lineage: Bacteria
Description: partial 16S ribosomal RNA
Rfam family: Bacterial small subunit ribosomal RNA
Source: RNAcentral